RNAcentral lists this ribosomal RNA (446 nucleotides) under uncultured bacterium. Its description in RNAcentral is "partial 16S ribosomal RNA". It matches the Rfam family "Bacterial small subunit ribosomal RNA", at positions 338 to 795 of the family's 1533-position model. The record is from RNAcentral.
CCUACGGUGGGCAGCAGUCGAGAAUCAUUCACAAUGGGGGAAACCCUGACGGUGCGACGCCGCGUGGGGGAAUGAAGGUCUUCGGAUUGUAAACCCCUGUCAUGUGGGAGCAAAUUAAAAAGAUAGUACCACAAGAGGAAGAGACGGCUAACUCUGUGCCAGCAGCCGCGGUAAUACAGAGGUCUCAAGCGUUGUUCGGAAUCACUGGGCGUAAAGCGUGCGUAGGCUGUUUCGUAAGUCGUGUGUGAAAGGCGCGGGCUCAACCCGCGGACGGCACAUGAUACUGCGAGACUAGAGUAAUGGAGGGGGAACCGGAAGUCUCGGUGUAGCAGUGAAAUGCGUAGAUAUCGAGAGGAACACUCGUGGCGAAGGCGGGUUCCUGGACAUUAACUGACGCUGAGGCACGAAGGCCAGGGGAGCGAAAGGGAUUAGAUACCCUAGUAGUC